AGUGAACGCUGGCGGUAGGCCUAACGCAUGCAAGUCGAACGGCAGCACAGUAAGAGCUUGCUCUUACGGGUGGCGAGUGGCGGACGGGGGAGGAAUACAUCGGAAUCUAUUUUUUCGUGGGGGAUAACGUAGGGAAACUUACGCUAAUACCGCAUACGACCUCCGGGUGAAAGCAGGGGAUCUUCGGACCUUGCGCGAUUGAAUGAGCCGAUGUCGGCUUAGCUAGUUGGCGGGGUAAAGGCCGACCAAGGCGAGGAUCCGUAGCUGGUCUGAGAGGAUGAUCAGCCACACUGGAACUGGGACACGGUCCAGACUCCUACGGGAGGCAGCAGUGGGGAAUAUUGGACAAUGGGCGCAAGCCUGAUCCAGCCAUACCGGGUGGGUGAAGAAGGCCUUCGGGUUGUAAAGCCCUUUUGUUUGGAAAGAAAAGCAGCAGGUUAAUACCCCGCUGUUCUGACGGUACCCAAAGAAUAAGCACCGGCUAACUUCGUG
This 492-nucleotide ribosomal RNA is filed under the name uncultured bacterium. RNAcentral's name for it is "partial 16S ribosomal RNA". It matches the Rfam family "Bacterial small subunit ribosomal RNA", at positions 29 to 507 of the family's 1533-position model. The record is from RNAcentral.